RNAcentral lists this transfer RNA (74 nucleotides) under Salmo salar (Atlantic salmon). It matches the Rfam family "tRNA". From Rfam's summary of the family: Transfer RNA (tRNA) molecules are approximately 80 nucleotides in length. The record is from Rfam by way of RNAcentral. Lineage: Eukaryota; Metazoa; Chordata; Actinopteri; Salmoniformes; Salmonidae.
GCCUGGCUACCUCAGUCGGUAGAGCAUGAGACUCUUAGUCUCAGGGUUGUGGGUUUUGAGCCCCACGUUAGGGU